AUUUCACGUUUUUCUUAACAAGUUAAAACAAUUAUUACCAGCGAAAAAACUCAUUUUUUCACAUUUUUCUUCGAUUUGUUCAUUUUAGACAUUUAUGAGUACUCUAUCCCUUAUCUCAAGAAAACAAAAUUUGAUUGGAAUCUUUGUUGCAUACUGAUCUUAUUUUUAAUUACAUUAAAAAUUCUGUUAAAUGAGAAAUUAUAUGUUUUUGAACAGAGCAUUAUUAAGAGAAGAUAUUUAAAGUGAUCUAACAAUGUGCAUUGACAGGUAGUGGAGAAAUGAGGUGCUCUAUUCCUACAUUAGAGAUAAGAGAUUCAGUGCUUUGUCCUAACUUCUAAGUCCCCAUCAAGCCACUUGGAUGGCAUGCAUCUCUCUUAAUUUAUUUAUUAUUAUUAUUAUUAUUAUUUCUUGUUUGUUUUAUUUAAAUGGGAAGGAUUUAUUUUUUAAUGGUUUUUGUUGGUUUACAAGCAUCAAAUGGAGCGUUUUGGCCCAAAAUGAGACUUGAUCUUCUGGACAUCAUCUUAGCAAAGGUUACAAAUAAAAAAAAUCAAUGCUCUUCAAGUUCCCAAAAGAAGAGAAAUUGUUUAGUUGAGCUAAUGAUUUCUUGACUAAAUUCAUUAUGAAGUUGAACUAAGUUUAUUGUAGAUUAUAUUCAUUUUACCAAUUUUUGCACUAGUGUUUGUUUUUA
This is a long non-coding RNA of Vitis riparia (riverbank grape), 688 nucleotides long. RefSeq lists it as uncharacterized. The record is from RefSeq and is a predicted model, not a curated record. The transcript is spliced from 2 exons. NCBI's taxonomy places the organism in Eukaryota, Viridiplantae, Streptophyta, Magnoliopsida, Vitales, Vitaceae.